Molecule: long non-coding RNA, 1021 nt
Organism: Homo sapiens (human)
Lineage: Eukaryota; Metazoa; Chordata; Mammalia; Primates; Hominidae
Source: Ensembl
CUUUAGGUGCUGUGGAUGCCCCUGAAACAAGGCCUCAGACUUGGCUUGGACUAUGGGUUCCAUCCAUAGGGUUGGCCUCAUUGAUCAGCGUUACAGGAAGGCUUCGAGGUGGCUCCCUGUGACCGUGUUGUGAGCAAACCAUUCCUGGCAUCCCACCUUGCAGAACUUGUGGAGAAGAAACAAAAAUAACCCAUAAUCCCACUGUUUUGAUGCCACUUACUGAUAUUUGAAAAGAGGUAAAAAUAAAAUAUGAAGACAGAAAAUCCCAUCAUGUAUCCAAAGGCAUGAAUGAAAAGAAAGAGCCUUCUACCAGGACCUCCUGCACCACCCAAGAGUGCCAUUUUCUCAGGGGCUGAGAAGAGCCCCUCCAACAGGGCAGUGACCCGCUUGCCACAACCCACCUUGGCAAAAGCAGUGGAUAUGCCCCAGGACUCCAGGAAGCAGUGUGGCCUCAGAGAGCUUGGUGAGAAAUGUGUGUGGGAAGCAAAGGGCAGCUGAUGACUCACUGCAUGCCCUUAACUCAGUCUCUUCGACUCCUGAAGCCUCAGUUUCCCCACCUGGGGUAUGGUGAUAAUCACCCACUCAGCCACGAUGCUGGGGAGUGCUAACAGUGCCUCCUGCAGCCACCUCCCAGAUAAACCACCAGUACUCCCAUCCUUGUUGGAGGGCCUGUUUUUAGGAAAACCCUGACUAAGGCAGGAAGCUCCCCGCACUGCAGCAGAGGGAGUCAGGAUGCUGAGCUCUGGGUGCCCCAGCUGUCUGGCUCACCAGCCAUGAGAUGCCAGGGAAUAAGGGAACCCGAGGAGAAGGAGAGAGAUGAGGGACCAGCUCCUCGGUGGAGGACGCAGAAUACACACAUUUAUUGAUGAGGUUUGCCAUCUUUUAUGGGCACAGUUUGUGGCACCACAAAACAAUUACAAUGGUGACUUUGAAGAUUAUUGAUCACAGAUCACCAUAACAGAUAUAAUGAUGAAAAGGUUUGAAAUAUUGUGAAAAUUAUCAGAAUAUAACAACAAGACAC